CGUGAGGUGAAAGGGGGCCUGCAGGCAGGGGUCCCAGCCUGCUUCCAUCAUCCCUUCCUUGCCUGUGUCCUUGUGGGGCUGCCUGAUGUCUCCAGGCUCAUCCACCUGGCCCCUGAGCACGGGCACAAGAUCUGCUGUCACAGCCUCGUCCCAUAAUUGGAUGAUGAUGGAAGUAGAGGAUUCUCAGGCAAGGCCAUCUUCAUCUGAAGAGAUCUCAGAGCUCCAAGCACUGAAGUGAAAUUGCCAAGGGACACCCCACACAGGGGCACCCGUUGGUCCCCUUCGGCUUCACCUUUCAUUUGGGACAAAGUUGGAGAUGGUGAUUCGAAGUUUUUUCUGGAAAGAGAGGCUUAAGUGAUCUACAUAAUACAAGGCAAAGAGGAGAGCGGGGAUUGAUGAAGCUGAAGAAAUUAUGGAGGGGGUUCACAAGAGAAAGAAGGGGCUGUGAAGGAAGUAACGUGAACAUGAGGACUUGCCAGGGAAUCCUUGUGAGCCAUGGAUCUCCUUCAUGAUUUUCAAGAAAAAUGCAAGAAAAGACUCAGAAUUUAUUUUGUGCUUUAGUAAGCAUAACUGAACAACAUAAAUUCUGACUUAAUAAGGGCUACAUGUGUUUUGUCUCUCUUCCCAACCUCAGAGGGAAAGUGGGCUACUUCCAGUAUGUAGAUUUUAAUUCUGAUAUACGGAACACUCUGAGGUGCACCCCAUCUCCACCCCAAUCUCGCUGAGAACCACUGAUAUAGAACUUCUUAGAACAACUAGCAACUUUGUAAGGGUCAAACCUGUACAGCCAUCAGGCCUUCCUUGCUGAGCAUCCUCCUGGUCGCCACCUCUCCCUCAUGCCUGUGUCAGUGCUCAGCAGAAGCUCUAUGCAUAGCUGGUUGCCCCCUCAUAUUUUGCAGACUCUUCUGUUCGCUU
Molecule: long non-coding RNA, 915 nt
Organism: Canis lupus familiaris (dog)
Lineage: Eukaryota; Metazoa; Chordata; Mammalia; Carnivora; Canidae
Exons: 3
Source: RefSeq, a predicted model, not a curated record